RNAcentral lists this ribosomal RNA (668 nucleotides) under Rubrivivax sp. JA743. RNAcentral describes it as "bacterial SSU rRNA". It matches the Rfam family "Bacterial small subunit ribosomal RNA", at positions 101 to 768 of the family's 1533-position model. Lineage: Bacteria; Pseudomonadati; Pseudomonadota; Betaproteobacteria; Burkholderiales; Sphaerotilaceae. The record is from RNAcentral.
AACGGGUGAGUAAUGUUUGGCCGGGCCCAGUAGUGGGGGAUAGCCCGGAGAAAGCCGGAUUAAUACCGCAUACGACCUACGGGUGAAAGCGGGGGACCGCAAGGCCUCGCGCUAUUGGAGCGGCCGAUGUCAGAUUAGGUAGUUGGUGGGGUAAAGGCCUACCAAGCCUGCGAUCUGUAGCUGGUCUGAGAGGACGACCAGCCACACUGGGACUGAGACACGGCCCAGACUCCUACGGGAGGCAGCAGUGGGGAAUUUUGGACAAUGGGCGCAAGCCUGAUCCAGCCAUGCCGCGUGCGGGAAGAAGGCCUUCGGGUUGUAAACCGCUUUUGUCAGGGAAGAAAUCUUCUGGGUUAAUACCUCGGGAGGAUGACGGUACCUGAAGAAUAAGCACCGGCUAACUACGUGCCAGCAGCCGCGGUAAUACGUAGGGUGCAAGCGUUAAUCGGAAUUACUGGGCGUAAAGCGUGCGCAGGCGGUUAUGUAAGACAGAUGUGAAAUCCCCGGGCUUAACCUGGGAACUGCAUUUGUGACUGCAUAGCUUGAGUGCGGCAGAGGGGGAUGGAAUUCCGCGUGUAGCAGUGAAAUGCGUAGAUAUGCGGAGGAACACCGAUGGCGAAGGCAAUCCCCUGGGCCUGCACUGACGCUCAUGCACGAAGCGUGGGGAG